Molecule: long non-coding RNA, 856 nt
Organism: Etheostoma spectabile (orangethroat darter)
Lineage: Eukaryota; Metazoa; Chordata; Actinopteri; Perciformes; Percidae
Exons: 2
Source: RefSeq, a predicted model, not a curated record
UGUGGUGUGUGUGUGUGGUGUGUGUGUGUGUGUGUGUGUGUGUGUGUGUGUGUGUGUGGAGAUAAAGAGGAAUACUUGAGGAAGCUAUUUGAAAGCGCUUCACUGGCAUUAUGUGUGUUGUGGGAAAGGACUGGUGGGCAGAUGUGUGCCACACCACUGACAUGGAUCAUACCUCCAGCACAAGUGGAACAGUAACUUAAUAGUUUGUGUUAUUGAGGAUUCAAAAUCAGAAGAGAGUUGGGCAGAGACUUAACAGCCGAAAACCGUUCAAUGGAACAAAAAGCACAAUUUACGAUCAUGGCAAGAUUGUCACUAUUGUCAUUUUUUUCGCUGAAGUGGUUCCGCAUUGACUCUUUAGCGCAGAUGUUUUUGUGAUAAUUAAGAUGUGUUUUGCUUUGAUUCAUUUGCUUGUUUGGUAAAGUCAAAUAGAUGUAUAUCUUAUGAUUAACAAAAUGAAUUCCAUUCUUUCUAUGAAAGUAAAGCAUCUUGUGUGUGAAGAAUCACACUUCAUUCUCUAUUUUUUGUGUGUGUAUAAAUUAAUUAGUGUUGUUGGAAAAUGAUCCAGUAUAUAUGCUGAUCAUCACAUUCUUCUGUCUUUGAUGCCUUUUUUCUGUUAUUUCGUCUAAAGUGUCUGAUCUUUUUUGAGACUGUUUCAUUCUGUUUGGAGGUAACGCUUGCUAUUUGAUUGUCUGACCGACGGAAUACCUAGUGUAUGCUGUGUUUGAUUUGUAUGGAAAUGUGCUUUAAAGUAUGUUUAAAGAACAAAAUACAUGGUAUGAAGAAAAACAGAUGGCUAAUGAAGCUAACAAAGUGGCUUGUGGCCAUAUUUGUAUUAAAAUAAAGUUUCUAAGUGAAU